This 100-nucleotide unclassified non-coding RNA is filed under the name Lasianthus sp. Kainulaninen et al. 17. Its description in RNAcentral is "partial external transcribed spacer". The record is from RNAcentral. Lineage: Eukaryota; Viridiplantae; Streptophyta; Magnoliopsida; Gentianales; Rubiaceae.
AAUGUCUCGUCUUGGCCCGUAGCUUGUGAUUUUUGUCCCAACUGAACGACUCUCGUCGUGGCAUUUGCAUGCCCCUUCGAGUAUUGUCAUCGAGGAAUGC